AUCCAGCUUGUGAGUCUCAAAUAGGAUGAAACGCGCUUCCUGGAU
RNAcentral lists this non-coding RNA (45 nucleotides) under Schistosoma mansoni. The record is from RNAcentral. Lineage: Eukaryota; Metazoa; Platyhelminthes; Trematoda; Strigeidida; Schistosomatidae.